GAUCGAUUUGCUCUAGUAUCUUCUCCUUUCAUAUCAUUUCACCUCCACCAUGGACGAAAAAGAAGCGCCACCUCAACCACCGCCGACCGCCUUUGCUCACCACCACUUCUCUCCUUCAACUACAUGCAUAAACUGCGGCGGGCCCACCGCCUACCCUACGCCACCGCCGCCUUCCUCCAACCUAACCUAUAUCCCCAUCCGCUUCCCGGCCGUCAAUCUUCCUACGAAUCCAACCAACACCAAAGAAGCCAUUAUGCGAACUCCGGUGCCACAGUCCCAAAAAGUGGUCCCGCUUCAACCACCUUACAGCUUCCAAACCCCAGUCAAGAUAAUCUCCAGCCAGAACGACAUCGUCCGGCUCCACUCCUCUCCUACUUUCGCCAACUUCCUCGGCUUCGUCGUUUCCCUUUCCGAAUCCAUCAAAUCUCACAAGCUCUCUGAUCCCUGCCACGUGUCUCCCGCCGUCUGCACGAUCGUUGAUGUGAUCGAGAAGCUAAUCGCGUUCGUCGAUGAAAUUCCUCCGGCACCCCAGUCUGCUCGCUACGGCAACGUGGCGUACCGGACGUGGCACGAUCGCAUGAGCUCUGAUGCUGAGUCGUUUAUGCUGCUGUUGCUUUCUCCCGAUCUUCGUGACGCGGCUGUUGAAUUAGUGCCCUAUUUUACCGACAGCUUCGGCAAUUCAAGCCGCAUUGAUUACGGUACUGGUCAUGAAACAAACUUUGCAGCAUGGUUGUACUGCUUAGCGAGAUUGCAAAUAGUUAAGGAAGAAGAUUAUCAAGCACUAGUUUCCCGGGUUUUUGUGAAGUACUUGGAGUUGAUGCGGAAGUUGCAGUUGACUUAUUCUCUCGAGCCUGCAGGAUCCCAUGGAGUAUGGGGGCUUGAUGACUAUCACUUUUUACCUUUCAUAUUUGGGUCUUCACAGUUGAUUGACCACAAGUAUAUGAAGCCGAAAUCAAUUCAUAAUGAGGAUAUAUUAGAGAAUUUCGCAAGUGAAUAUUUGUACCUUUCAUGUAUUGUAUUUAUAAAGAAGGUUAAAAAGGGAUUAUUUGCUGAGCAUUCACCAAUGCUGGAUGAUAUUAGUGGUGUGCCAAAUUGGAAGAAGGUUAAUAGUGGGCUCUUAAAGAUGUAUAAAGUGGAAGUUUUGCAGAAGGUUCCUAUCAUGCAACAUUUUCUCUUUGGCUCCAUUAUCAAAUGGAAAUGAGAGUUGGCAUGAGAAGUCCUGGAAAAAAUUUUUUGGUUGUGGAAAGCCAAUAAAAAUCAAAGAUGAGUUUUCUUCAACCCAAGGGAAUGAGCCUGAGGCCUUUAACCUACAAACAGGAUGGGAAUGAAAUUGGUGUAGUUGGAGUUCCAGGAUAAUUGAUGUAGUAGUACUUGUAUCCGCCACAAAUUUUUAUCGAGAUAACAUGUGUAAUGAUAUUGUAUCAGUAAAUGGUUAAAUAGAAUUUCAUCCGUUGCAUUACAGAAAGUUGAUGUUAUCUUUUCCUCAAUAAUAUGAUUAUUCCGAAUUAGAUCUA
RNA transcript from Coffea arabica (coffee), 1514 nucleotides. RefSeq lists it as uncharacterized. Lineage: Eukaryota; Viridiplantae; Streptophyta; Magnoliopsida; Gentianales; Rubiaceae. The record is from RefSeq and is a predicted model, not a curated record.